Molecule: non-coding RNA, 46 nt
Filed under: Schistosoma mansoni
Lineage: Eukaryota; Metazoa; Platyhelminthes; Trematoda; Strigeidida; Schistosomatidae
Source: RNAcentral
GGAUUCCUGAGGAGUCCCACAAUAGGACGAAACAGCCGUCCAAGAC